UUUUUUGCUCCGUGUGAAUAACUGUUACACGCGCGUUAAAAGUGCAGCAUCUCUCUUCCUCAAUCAGUUGAACAUCUCCGAGAGAGCUGAGGUUACCUGUGCUGGUGAGGAUUCAUAAGGAUUGAACGCGGGUGGACAAAUGUCCGAUUUGAGCAAAACGCAGUGGUUUGCAGGCUGUUUACCUUGGGGAAAAGUUCUGGACUGCAGUAAAGCAAGCGCUCAGUUUUAUUGACCAGGAUGAAACAAUCAAACCGUGCACUGGAAUUGAUUGACUUGAGCUUUUUGUCUGCUGAGGAAGAGGCAGCAAUCCGUCAAGUGCUUCUGAGAGAUGAAGAUUUAAAACGACUGGAGAGUGGACGAGUCAGGAAACUGAGGCAGUCAGUCCCUGACUUUCAACAGCUGAAGACUUUGACAGGUGAGUGGUUUGAAGAGCUCAGGAUCAAGCGAUACGGGCAGCAGACGGAUGUCACAGCAGUGGUGAGGUCCUCCAUGAGAUGGAAGAAAACAGCAGAGGCUUCAUCUUCUCCAAGAGUGGUUGGAAGAAAAGAAAAACUACGAGCAGAACUCAAUGGCACUGACCCACAAUGCAAUUCAUCAGAAGUACAACCCAAAGAGCUCUCUGGUGACCGAAAAACAACUGUUUUUCCCUUCUUAAGUGCAGUUCAAGACACUAAACCUGAAAGAGGCUCCACAAAACAUGCAACAAAUCCAGAGCCAAGGCGAAAUUUUUCACUCCCUCCAGCGCUACGGAAAGAGCAAUCAUUUGAAGAGAACUGGGUAAAGAUCUCCCUUGAACCGAAUGAAGUGAAACCUAUGCAUGAUGAAAGCAAUAGUGUUGGACCUAAACCAAAUCACAUGUUGAGAAAACAGAGACCUUAAAGAAGCAGGACACAACAGUCCAAACACAGAGCCUCCAUCUUUAAAUUUCAUGGAUCAAACAUAAUUUCAGAUUGUUUUUCAAGCUGAACCUAAAGAAUUUAACCAAGAUGUUUUCUUAGAAAGAUGUUCAUCAACUGAGUUUCAGAAUCAACCACAGACUUCCUUAGUUUUCACCAAUGAUAGGCCAGAUUUUACUAUACACUCAGAUCACGAAGGUUCAGAGGAGGUUAAUGAGUCUACUAAUGCUUUCCAAGAUGGUACAAGCAGAGAUCAGCAGUGUUCAGUUGCAUGUACGUUUGGAGAGUCUGGGAGUGAUAAACUGGGUCCCUCAGACUCUGAGAAUGAGCAUUAUAAGAGAAUGAUGGUCUCCAGAGAUAUUCUUAAUGAUGAGGCAAGUUCAGACAGAAAAACAAAUCAAUAAGCAGUCCUCUGCUGAAAAAGUGUCCCAAAGGCAGUCACUAAAAGGGGGUAUUGAAAUGGAUUCUCAUGAAUUUCCGUCUGACACUCUGCAGGGGAAAGAUGCUUCCAGUAAUUUCUGGCGAUGACCGACCAGUGGAACUGGAAAAGAAAUCCCCUAAAAUAAUUAGCUAUUGCACAAUAAAACAGCUGAUAUAAGUGUAGUAGAAGAUUUCAAAAUGUCAUCACCACCUUCAAAACCAAGUGUCAGUGCAAAGAUAUCAUGAUGCUCAUGAAGAUAAAAGAAAAAAAUAAGAUAAAGUCAUCACAUGAUUAGAAUUUAGCAAAAGACACUAACAUUACAACUCAAGUUUUAGCACAGUUAAGCCAAGACUACCUUUCUAUGAUGGGAAAUUAGUGCACACUGGAAAUGCUGGAGUCAUGCACGUUGACACUAAAUAUAAUGAAUAAAAAAAUGAGUUUGUCAAAACUGUUGUUGAACCAAUUCAACCAGCUAAACCUACACGUGAAGAUGUUGCUGGGCGGGGUCAAGGUUCUUCAAAGAUGAAGGAUGAGGAGGACAAUGCUGAAACCGAGCAGAGGAUGAGGUCAAAUAUAGUACUAAGUGUUCUGGCCAGAGCUCAAAAGGCAAGACCACCCAUCCUGCAGAAGAUCACUCCUCUGGAGCCAAAGCAGGAGACUAGAAAUGAUACGGUUCCCACAACAAACCUUAUGGCAUUUGAAUCUCCAGAUCCAACAGAAAUGGAAGGAUGAAGGCGUUGAUUCAGAUGAUGAUGAUUCAUUGUCCAGCUAUGGGUCAAAUCUCUUGCAGAAGAGGAUAUUCGGCUAGCGCGUUGUCUCUGACUCAUGUGGGUUGAAGAACAGCACCGGGGAGAUUCAUGUAUGGCUGUAGGAGGCAAAAGAAUUACGCCGCCUGAAGCCUCAGGGAGUCGUUUCUUUUGUUAAAUGGUGAGGGCGUGCCUGUCAUCUGAUACGGACAUGACUUUCAAAGCAGCUAAAGCCAUUGUUCCAUCUCUAACUCUCUCAUGCUUCAUCUUUGUCAUGUUUGAAGUGUUUUUUCUAUCAAAAUGACAUGAGAAGAAAGGAAAUGACCCAGAUGACCUAUUUCAUUCAUUUGGUUUGGUUUAAAAGAUAAAUAUUAUUUACAGAACUAACUUCAUCGUAACAUUUUCACAAACUCAUUUUACACAUGGUCAGACAUGUUUUUCCUGAUGCCGUUUUAUAGGUUUAAAAUGUCUAAUCUAGCACUAUAUUUAUGUACUUUUUUUUUUUUUUUUUUUUUUUUUACGUAAGCUACUGUGCUAAUGCCUCCAGUCAUUUUAAUUAAAGCUUAUUUUAAGAUUACAUUACAAAAAGUAAUGCAUUUUUUAUUUUUAAAAAAUAUUUUAACAUAAAAACUGAAUUAAUUUUCUUAAUAAAAUUUCUUAUUUCUUUCUUUUGAUUUUGGGGUGAAAUA
This is an RNA transcript of Cyprinus carpio (common carp), 2752 nucleotides long. It is a transcript of the gene named synaptotagmin-like protein 1, with no coding region annotated. The record is from RefSeq and is a predicted model, not a curated record. NCBI's taxonomy places the organism in Eukaryota, Metazoa, Chordata, Actinopteri, Cypriniformes, Cyprinidae. The transcript is spliced from 5 exons.